Molecule: long non-coding RNA, 170 nt
Organism: Archocentrus centrarchus (flier cichlid)
Lineage: Eukaryota; Metazoa; Chordata; Actinopteri; Cichliformes; Cichlidae
Exons: 3
Source: RefSeq, a predicted model, not a curated record
ACCCUGUCCGAUGGCAGCACCCCAGUCUCAGUCAUUAGGAUCGUAUCCAAGUCACAGGAAGCUGAACCUCUCAUCUCUCAUUUAGCCUGAUGGACACCCACUUGGCUACAGCCAGAAGACAGUUAUCCUAGCUUAGUACAGUGGACCGUGGUAACCUCGAUGUGUACACC